Molecule: ribosomal RNA, 1107 nt
Filed under: Triticum aestivum (bread wheat)
Lineage: Eukaryota; Viridiplantae; Streptophyta; Magnoliopsida; Poales; Poaceae
Description: partial small subunit ribosomal RNA
Source: RNAcentral
AUGGAGCUUACCCACGUAUUCUCCCUUCUCGCCCUCUUCUGUCUCCAAAGCGUGAGCGCCGACAGGGUUAAGUUCACCUCCUUGUUUGCCCUCGGCGACUCCAAGAUCGACACCGGCAACCUGCUUAUCUUGGCUACUCCGGAUGUGCCUGUGUUCAAUAACAAGCCUCCUUACGGCAAGACCUUCUUUGGCCACCCCAAUGGCCGCUUCAGCGACGGGAGAGUCACCAUCGAUUUCAUCGCCGAGGAGUUUGGUCUCCCUCUUCUUCGACCCUCCCUGCAGAAUAACCCAGACGUCUCCAAGGGCGUCAAUUUCGCCGUCGGUGGUGCGACGUCGCUCAACGUCGACUUCUUCGAGAGGAACAAAUAUGUUAAUUUCAAGCUUCUAAACAGUUCUCUGAACGUGCAGCUGGACUGGUUCGAGAAACUCAAGCCAUCGUUUUGCAAGACGGCAGGACCGAGUGAAUGCUUCAGUAAAACCCUCUUCGUCGUCGGGGAGUUUGGAGUGAACGACUACAACCUGGCAUGGGGUGCGGGGAAGUCUGAAGGCGAAGUGAGGGCUUAUGUACCUCAAGUUGUGCAAAAUAUUGCCAAUGCCGCUGAUGUGCUUAUCAAAGGAGGUGCAACUUACGUGGUCCUGCCGGGGAUCCCGCCGAUCGGGUGCUCGCCGUCCCUGCUGGCGACCCGCGUGAAGCUCAACAAGGCGAAGGAGUUCGACCAGCUCGGCUGCCUAAGCGACGUCGACCGCGUGACCAAGUACCACAACACCAAGCUGCGUGAUGCGAUCGACGGUCUGAGGCGCAAGUACGCGCAUGCCAAGGUCAUCAAGGCUGACUUCUACAACCCUAUCAUCGAGAUCCUCCAAAACCCCGGACGGUUCGGAGUGGCCGGCGGCGACGUUCUGCGGGCUUGCUGCGGAGGCGGCGGGAAGUACAACUGGAACAUCAGCGCCGUGUGCAGCCAACCGGGGGUGGCCGCCUGCAAGGAUCCCUCGGCGUUCGUGAGCUGGGACGGGACGCACUUCACGGAGGCCACGUACCGCCACGUCGCCAAAGGGUGGCUCUCCGGUCCUUACGCCGAUCCGCCCAUACUGAAUGCUAAUAACUAG